AACGAACGCUGGCGGCAUGCCUAACACAUGCAAGUCGAACGAGAUCUUCGGGUCUAGUGGCGCACGGGUGCGUAACGCGUGGGAAUCUGCCCUUUGGUUCGGAAUAACAGUUGGAAACGACUGCUAAUACCGGAUGAUGACGAAAGUCCAAAGAUUUAUCGCCAGAGGAUGAGCCCGCGUAGGAUUAGCUAGUUGGUGUGGUAAAGGCGCACCAAGGCGACGGUCCUUAGCUGGUCUGAGAGGAUGACCAGCCACACUGGGACUGAGACACGGCACGGACUCCUACGGGAGGCAGGAGUGGGGAAUAUUGGACAAGGGGCGAAAGCCUGUUCCAGCAAUGCCGCGUGAGUGAUGAAGGCCUUAGGGUUGUAAAGCUCUUUUACCCGGGAUGAUAAUGACAGUACCGGGAGAAUAAGCUCCGGCUAACUCCGUGCCAGCAGCCGCCGUAA
This 449-nucleotide ribosomal RNA is filed under the name uncultured bacterium. Its description in RNAcentral is "partial 16S ribosomal RNA". It matches the Rfam family "Bacterial small subunit ribosomal RNA", at positions 29 to 523 of the family's 1533-position model. The record is from RNAcentral.